This 400-nucleotide ribosomal RNA is filed under the name uncultured bacterium. RNAcentral describes it as "bacterial SSU rRNA". It matches the Rfam family "Bacterial small subunit ribosomal RNA", at positions 355 to 746 of the family's 1533-position model. The record is from RNAcentral.
UGAGGAAUAUUGCGCAAUGGGGGCAACCCUGACGCAGCAACGCCGCGUGAGUGAGGAAGGUUUUCGGAUCGUAAAGCUCUGUCGGGUGGGAAGAAGUGUAUGGAGGUUAAUAGCCUUUGUACUUGACGGUACCGCCAAAGGAAGCACCGGCUAACUCCGUGCCAGCAGCCGCGGUAAUACGGGGGGUGCAAGCGUUGUUCGGAAUCAUUGGGCGUAAAGAGCGUGUAGGCGGCUAGGCAAGUCAGAUGUGAAAUCCCUGGGCUUAACCCAGGACGUGCAUUUGAAACUGUUUGGCUUGAGUAAGGAAGAGGGAAGUGGAAUUCCUGGUGUAGAGGUGAAAUUCGUAGAUAUCAGGAGGAACACCGGUGGCGAAGGCGACUUCCUGGUCCUAUACUGACGC